AACCAUAGUUAAUAUAGAAGACCGGGUUUGGAAGGCCGGCAAACUUCAAAGCAACACGUGAUCAAAUGGGAUACCAUGUUACAAAGUACGUCACGUGACAGCUUAUAGUGCAUUCGAGCUGCAAUUCAUAGUAGAAACUUAUAGAAAAUAGAGGGAUCUUUGUCUAAAAUCACCAUUUUCUCGUCUCAUACGAGGUCUAUGGAGCCAUGCGGCAUUGAAUACAUGGAGAUGGACGAAGAGAGUUCUUUGCCAUUUUAUGAAGGCAAUGGAGCCUAUAGUUCGGGUUUUGAAGACGAUUUUGAGCAAACUCUUGCUAAUGCUUGGAUUGCUUGAUAUGGACUUCGAGGUGGUGAUGAUCGAGGUUCAAAAUUCUCAUGAAGAGGUGAGUUAAAUAUCAAAAUAACUUAUAAAAGUAAGCCGUGCCUUUUCAAUAACCUCACCUAUAAUUUAACUUGAAUCUAGGUUGAAGGAAAUAAGCAAUUCCCUUGCGACUUUUGUGAGAAAAUUUGCAAGUCAAAGGGUGCAUGGUCUAACAAAACAUCAACAUCCUUCUGAAGCUUUAUAUUAUAAAUUAAAAGAAAGAAGAGCAAAGAAAACUUUCUAAAGGAGUUUUAUGGCAAUACAAACGCCCAUUGGCAACAAUAUUUUCAUCCUUAUCCUGACAAGAUUGAGCAACCUUUUGACUCUGAGGUAAUUGUUUUCUGAGUUUCUGACAUAGUUUAAUAUAUUUAUCAGUUUGACCUAGCUAGCUAGAUGGUGUAUGUCUGGAGGUAGUGUAUUUCAAUAAGGUCUAUAAAUUGUAUAAUAUAUAAUACUGGUCAAACCUAUAUAAAGUUCCCUCAAAUUAUGUAAUAAUUUUAAAAUACAACUACCCUGUACUCAUGCACAACCAUCUUUGUUUCCAAAGGUAAUGACCAGGGUAAUACCCCUGGGUAGAAAUAUAGUAGCUCAAUUUACCCAGUGUAUUAGCAUUUAUUGUGUUUUUAUUAACUUAUUUUAGGAUGAAGUUUCUCUAUCAUCACAAAAGCUUGGCCAUUGACCUAUUUGGCUGGUUAUGUCAUGAACUCACGAUAAGAUCUUUGUAUCGAAAAAGCAAAAAUUGUUCCAGGUGGCACUCCCAGAGAAACAAAGAAAUUCAAGCCUUGAUGUAUUCAAUGCGAACUGCAACAGAGGACAAUGAGUACAUUUAAUCGUUGUGGUGGCCUUUGGUCACCUCAUUUAUGGCUUGUAAGUGUAAUGGAAGUUAGUGAGUUAGUUUUUAGUAAGCACACAAAUAAAGACAAGGUCACUUGUCUCCCAGUAGACAAAAUAGUGAAUGAAGUAUUGGCUUCUUCCCUUGUGAAAAACUUGUGGUGCAAUAUUAUUGCAAAUUAUGAUAUGGAAAUCUCUAAAGAAUGUCAGUUCCUGUGUUUAGGAAAUAUUGUAAAGUUAUAUGUUACUGUUAGAUGUUUUCAUUUGCCAAAGAUACUGUAAAUAAUGUGUGACUAGUGAAGUGAUGUAUUAAUCAAUAUUAAAUGUAUUCCUUGAACCCUUUUGCCACCAAAGAAGUACAUUAGUUUUUUUAAGAUCACGUCUUUGAAAUGUUAUUGCAUUUGACCAAAUGUCCAGCUUAAAUAUAAUCUAGGGUAUUGAAAACCAUAACCAGUCACUGUCACCACUGUGCUGUCACACAUGGUAUGUGACACAUUUGAAGUGCAUGAUCACAUGAUCUACUGAAAUCUAGCAGGUUUCUAAUUAGCAAUCCAACCUGAGGUUUAUAAAUAUUUGAUGUUUGGAUGAUUUUUAUAGUUUAAUUAAUUUUAUGAGAUGUAUUUUGUAUGAUUGUCGUAAGUAAAGGAGUCCAAUAUAGUUAAUUAAAAAUCUGCUAAAUUUUAUGAGAUUUUAGCACGUCAUGUGACAAGCACCUACUGGGGUCUUUUCUCCCCAAAAGAAAAGAUCCUGGAUACAAGGUUGGUCGAGACAUUGUUACUAAAAUAUUUAUUGCAACUGAAUGCUAAAUGUAAAUAUUUUUUAGUAGGUUUUAAUUGCAAAUAUUUAUAUAGUGAUGAAAAAAUAUCUACACUAAUUAACUACUACAUUUCAGUUUAAUUAAUUAAAGGGUAUUAUUAUGGAGUAAAUCUAGCAUUAUUUGAAAGAGAUACACUUAAAUACUGAUUGGAUAGGAAUGAGUAUUUAACACUCCUUGUGAAGUGCUACAUCACCUUUCACUGUGGUCAGCUUAUAAGCAAUCCUCCCCAAGCUAACUGAUUCAGGGACAAAUAUUGCUGUUUAGCCAAUCAUAAUGAAGCGUAAUCUUACUAAUAUACUGUAGCACUUCAUGGGAGUGGUAAUAGACCUUAAAAGUGCUUAUAUCACACAAUUUUGAAUCAAUGAAAACAUUAGGUAUAUUUUGUCCUGCAUGUUUCCCACAUUGCAUUGCAAUUUAUUGUUUAGCACUGAUAUGACUUACUUAACCCAUUCAGUAAAAUUGUGCCCUGAUGGGCCCUACUUUACUCUGUCUAAUGCCAGACUAUUUUACUCUGUUUAACACCAGACAAUUUUAUUUGUCAAGGGUAGAUGGUUGGUGUUUAAUGGGUUAAGCACUUCUAAGGUACUGUUAAUUUUGAAAAUUCUUAACAAGGUAAACUAUUAGAUCAUUUUUGUGGCAUGAAGUACAUAUUGGUGUCAGCACUAAAUUGCUUCAAAGUUAUAUCAUGCAUAGCUAGAUCAAGCAAAAUUAUAAUGAGAUUUAGCUCAUUUGUUUUAACAGCAUGGAAAUUCUCUAAAUUUAACCCUUUAAGUUGCAAUGUACCCAGAUGCACCCUACUUUAUUAUUUUACUCUGUCUAUUACAGUAAUGCCAGAUGAUUUUACUCGUAGCACUGUGCACAAUACAAUAGUACCUCCAUAAGAAAUGUUCAAUAUGUCUACAGACUUCAAGAGUUCUCGCAAAAUGAUCAAUAUUUUGCAUUACUUGUUAACUAUUGUUCUCAUAACAUGUUCAAGAUCACUAUUUCUUGAUUGUUUUAUGUUCUUCUCUUUGGGCAAUGACUCCUCACUGACAUUACACAUUUACACCACUUGCUUCGCUUUAAUACCAGAAUGCCGUCCAGAAUUGAAACAUUUCCUUGAAUCAU
Molecule: long non-coding RNA, 3115 nt
Filed under: Paramuricea clavata
Lineage: Eukaryota; Metazoa; Cnidaria; Anthozoa; Malacalcyonacea; Plexauridae
Source: RNAcentral